UGCUCAGGACGAACGCCGGCGGCGUGCUUAACACAUGCAAGUCGAACGAUGAAAGAGGGAGCUUGCUUUCUCUGGAUUAGUGGCGAACGGGUGAGUAACACGUGAGCAAUCUGCCCUUGACUCUGGGAUAAGCGUUGGAAACGACGUCUAAUACGGGAUACGAACUUCAGCCGCAUGGCUAGGGGUUGGAAAGAAUUUCGGUCAAGGAUGAGCUCGCGGCCUAUCAGCUUGUUGGUGAGGUAAUGGCUCACCAAGGCGACGACGGGUAGCCGGCCUGAGAGGGUGACCGGCCACACUGGGACUGAGACACGGCCCAGACUCCUACGGGAGGCAGCAGUGGGGAAUAUUGCACAAUGGGCGCAAGCCUGAUGCAGCAACGCCGCGUGAGGGACGACGGCCUUCGGGUUGUAAACCUCUUUUAGCAGGGAAGAAGCGCAAGUGACGGUACCUGCAGAAAAAGCACCGGCUAACUACGUGCCAGCAGCCGCGGUAAUACGUAGGGUGCAAGCGUUGUCCGGAAUUAUUGGGCGUAAAGAGCUCGUAGGCGGUUUGUCGCGUCUGCUGUGAAAUCCCGAGGCUCAACCUCGGGCCUGCAGUGGGUACGGGCAGACUAGAGUGCGGUAGGGGAGAUUGGAAUUCCUGGUGUAGCGGUGGAAUGCGCAGAUAUCAGGAGGAACACCGAUGGCGAAGGCAGAUCUCUGGGCCGUAACUGACGCUGAGGAGCGAAAGCGUGGGGAGCGAACAGGAUUAGAUACCCUGGUAGUCCACGCCGUAAACGUUGGGAACUAGAUGUGGGGACCAUUCCACGGUCUCCGUGUCGCAGCUAACGCAUUAAGUCCCCGCC
Molecule: ribosomal RNA, 844 nt
Filed under: Microbacteriaceae bacterium
Lineage: Bacteria; Bacillati; Actinomycetota; Actinomycetes; Micrococcales; Microbacteriaceae
Description: bacterial SSU rRNA
Rfam family: Bacterial small subunit ribosomal RNA
Source: RNAcentral